RNAcentral lists this ribosomal RNA (377 nucleotides) under uncultured bacterium. RNAcentral's name for it is "bacterial SSU rRNA". It matches the Rfam family "Bacterial small subunit ribosomal RNA", at positions 523 to 898 of the family's 1533-position model. The record is from RNAcentral.
AUACGUAGGGGGCGAGCGUUGUCCGGAAUUACUGGGCGUAAAGGGCGUGUAGGCGGGGGUGCAAGUUAUCGGUAAAAACCCGAGGCUCAACCACGGGCCUGCCGAUAAAACUGCAUCUCUUGAGUGCAGGAGAGGGGAAUGGAAUUCCCGGAGUAGCGGUGAAAUGCGUAGAUACCGGGAGGAACACCAGUGGCGAAGGCGGUUCCCUGGCCUGUAACUGACGCUGAGGCGCGAAAGCUGGGGUAGCGAACGGGAUUAGAUACCCCGGUAGUCCCAGCCGUAAACGAUGGUCACUAGGUGUGGGGGGUGUUCAAGCCUUCCGUGCCGGAGCUAACGCAAUAAGUGACCCGCCUGGGGAGUACGGCCGCAAGGUUGAA